This 878-nucleotide ribosomal RNA is filed under the name Ramularia trigonotidis. RNAcentral describes it as "eukaryotic LSU rRNA". It matches the Rfam family "Eukaryotic large subunit ribosomal RNA", at positions 34 to 943 of the family's 3401-position model. Lineage: Eukaryota; Fungi; Ascomycota; Dothideomycetes; Mycosphaerellales; Mycosphaerellaceae. The record is from RNAcentral.
UUAAGCAUAUCAAUAAGCGGAGGAAAAGAAACCAACAGGGAUUGCCCCAGUAACGGCGAGUGAAGCGGCAACAGCUCAAAUUUGAAAUCUGGCGCAAGCCCGAGUUGUAAUUUGUAGAGGAUGCUUCUAGGUAGCGACCGGUCUAAGUUCCUUGGAACAGGACGUCACAGAGGGUGAGAAUCCCGUACGUGACCGGCCCGCACCUUCCACGUAGCUCCUUCGAAGAGUCGAGUUGUUUGGGAAUGCAGCUCUAAAUGGGAGGUAAAUUUCUUCUAAAGCUAAAUACCGGCCAGAGACCGAUAGCGCACAAGUAGAGUGAUCGAAAGAUGAAAAGCACUUUGGAAAGAGAGUUAAACAGCACGUGAAAUUGUUGAAAGGGAAGCGCUUGCAACCAGACUUUGGGGCGGUGUUCCGCCGGUCUUCUGACCGGUCUACUCGCCGUCCCGAGGCCAACAUCAUCUGGGACCGCCGGAUAAGACCUCGGGAAUGUAGCUCCCCUCGGGGAGUGUUAUAGCCCGUGGUGAUGCGGCGCGUCUCGGGUGAGGUCCGCGCUUCGGCAAGGAUGUUGGCGUAAUGGUUGCCAGCGGCCCGUCUUGAAACACGGACCAAGGAGUCUAACAUCUAUGCGAGUGUUCGGGUGUCAAACCCCUACGCGUAAUGAAAGUGAACGGAGGUGGGAAGGGCAACCUGCACCAUCGACCGAUCCUGAUGUCCUCGGAUGGAUUUGAGUAAGAGCAUGGCUGUUGGGACCCGAAAGAUGGUGAACUAUGCCUGAAUAGGGUGAAGCCAGAGGAAACUCUGGUGGAGGCUCGCAGCGGUUCUGACGUGCAAAUCGAUCGUCAAAUUUGGGUAUAGGGGCGAAAGACUAAUCGAACCAU